This 90-nucleotide transfer RNA is filed under the name Alphaproteobacteria bacterium. RNAcentral's name for it is "tRNA-Ser". It matches the Rfam family "tRNA". From Rfam's summary of the family: Transfer RNA (tRNA) molecules are approximately 80 nucleotides in length. Their secondary structure includes four short double-helical elements and three loops (D, anti-codon, and T loops). RNAcentral also lists the same sequence under 1 other name. Lineage: Bacteria; Pseudomonadati; Pseudomonadota; Alphaproteobacteria. The record is from RNAcentral.
GGGUACAUGGCAGAGCGGUUGAAUGCACCGGUCUUGAAAACCGGCAAGGGUUAACGCCCUUCGGGGGUUCGAAUCCCUCUGUACCCGCCA